CUCUCACUCGACUCACUGACUACUCUGCAGCAGCAACAACCACAUAUUGUCUGAGCAUCACAAUGGCAACAUGCAGUCCAUACAGCCGUCCGGAGCCACUGAAAUGUAAAUGCGUUGCCACACGUGUCACAAGAAAGGCAGUAGCCUAUGUAAAGUGUGGAGACAAAAUUGAAGUAGAGCAACACAGAUUUACGGCAUUCAGUGUUGUAACAGAUGGAAAUAACACUUACAUUUCAUCGAAGAAUGGUGAGACCCCAGAAUUUGAAGAAGGGGCCAGCUACGUGGUGAAAAACCACACCAUAUCUAGCAAGUAUGGAAAGCCAAGUAUAUUUGUAAAAUCAGCCACAAGCAAAUUUAAAACAUCCCAACUGAGUCUUACUGAAGAUCAGGAGAGAAGGGCCAGAGAGAUCCUUGUUCCACAUUCCCCUCUGGUCUCCGUGGACAAAGUGGACCCUUCAGAAGAUGGGUACGUCAGUCUCCUGGGAGAGAUAGAGGAAUUGCAGGAGGUGAGGAUGGCACAGGUGCAAUUUGGUAAAGUGCCCGUCCUGGACUUUAAGCUAAACUGCAACUCAAGAGCAGUUGAGGUUUCUCUGUGGAGAGAUGAGGCUCUUAUCGAGGUGUUAAAUGGAGACACUGUGGAGCUGACCCACCUCCGCCCAAACACUAAACCGAAUGGAAACAUUAAAUUCAAUUCUUCCACAUACACCACCGUAAAGGUUUCAGAAAGGCGGCUCAUUGAGGAGACGGUGGAGGUGAUCGGAGUGUCUUCCGGAAUGGGCGUGAUCGUGCUUCUGGGGGUCGAUUAUGAGGAGUACAUUGUCCCAGACACAAUGUAUUCAGGAGACGUUGAGGACCU
Molecule: long non-coding RNA, 856 nt
Organism: Cyprinus carpio carpio
Lineage: Eukaryota; Metazoa; Chordata; Actinopteri; Cypriniformes; Cyprinidae
Source: Ensembl